RNAcentral lists this ribosomal RNA (211 nucleotides) under uncultured bacterium. RNAcentral's name for it is "partial 16S ribosomal RNA". It matches the Rfam family "Bacterial small subunit ribosomal RNA", at positions 1290 to 1500 of the family's 1533-position model. The record is from RNAcentral.
AGUUCAGAUUGUGGGCUGCAACCCGCCCACAUGAAGUUGGAGUUGCUAGUAAUCGCGGAUCAGCAUGCCGCGGUGAAUACGUUCCCGGGCCUUGUACACACCGCCCGUCACACCAUGGGAGUUGGGAGCGCCCGAAGCCGGUGAGGUAACCGAGAGGGGCCAGCCGUCGAAGGUGAGACCAAUGACUGGGGUGAAGUCGUAACAAGGUAAC